This is a long non-coding RNA of Rhododendron vialii, 1352 nucleotides long. RefSeq lists it as uncharacterized. NCBI's taxonomy places the organism in Eukaryota, Viridiplantae, Streptophyta, Magnoliopsida, Ericales, Ericaceae. The transcript has 3 exons. The record is from RefSeq and is a predicted model, not a curated record.
AGGAGAUUAUUUUUUCUCUUUUCCUUUCCUUUCUUUCUUCUUCUCCGGCGUCUCUCUCGGCUCUCACCUCUCUCACCUUCUCUCUUCGAUUUCAUCAACCACGAGUGAGACUUUUGAAAAAUCCCAAGUACUAAAGUUGUUCUACGCGACGAGAGCUUCCUAUCCAUCGAAGAAAAUUCACGAUUGGAGCACUUCGAAGUUUCCUCCAUGUUCGGGCUUGCUUCUAACCCUCGAGGUACUCGUCAUGGCACUUAGCUUGGAUUGCAUGGAGUGCACAUUGAGACGUCUCUUGAGAGCUUCAUUGGAAUCAUUAAGGAGGUGUUUUAUCAUCUAGUCUAAUUCAUGUCGUGUACUUUACUCACAAUUGAAGGUUGUAUCUUUUGGUUAGAACAUAUGUAAAGCUAGGUAUAAACUCCUCUCUUUGAUUAUUGUGAAGCCCUUUUAAUGGAAUAUGUUUGGGAGACUUUAUGUAAAAAAAAAAAAAAAUUAGAGAGAAGAAGAAGAAGAGACUUUGAUUCUUUGUUUGGAUUGGCUUGACAUUUAAUGGUAAAGAUAGUUGAGGAAAAAGAUUUUUGUUUAUAGAAAAUAUAUUAUUAUUUUAGUUGAAAAUCGAGGGCGUGACAGUUACUUAAUAAGCAAUGCAAAAGUGGAGAUCACCCCACCAGAUUACGUAUUCUGGACAAUACUCUGCAAUGGAAUCUCUCUUGCCGAACACCAAUUGAAGAAAGCUCAGUUGCUGUUUACAAUAUUAGACGUAUCAGAUACCAAUUUGUGCCACUUAAAGAUUUGAGUGAAUAUGCCCGCGACACCCGAGGCUUUGGUAAAUUCAUAAAUCCAAAAGAAUUUAAUUUUGUUUGCGUCAUGAUGCAACAGAUGUUCUCUUUGCCAUAUUCCAUAUUGGUCCUAAACACACUACAAAGGAUGACACCCCCAUACAAAAUAUAACUGUCAUUGACACAAGGUAUGUUGUGUCAUGCAUCCUAUUAACAACAUAAAUAUAGCAGUCUUUACGGUUUAACAUCAAAGCUAUAUUUUGUGUGCUACCAACAUUCUUAAUCAUCCACAAUAUAAAAUUCGCAGCAACGUUUCAACAACGCUUGUGCUAUGGGGCAGUUCACCGAACAUGAGGGAAAAAUAAUGGCUACACUUGAAGGACCAUUCUCUAUUGUGCAAGGAGCAAGAUUGAAAGUUAACAACUAUCAAGGUAAACCAUAAGGAGUACUUGUUUUAAAAAUAGUCACCCAUGUUUAUGGAAUUUAAGGUUGUUGGGGAUUGGGAAUACCAUUAUGUUGACAGGUUUCCAGCUGGCUACAAGAGGUUCUACUACCUUCAACUUCAAUCUGCCAAUUCUU